UGUGCCUUACGGGGCGCAGCAGUGAGGAAUAUUGCACAAUGGGGGGAACCCUGAUGCAGCGACGCCGCGUGGGUGAAGGAGUAUUUUGGUAUGUAAAGCCCUAUCAGCAGGGAAGAACAAUGACGGUACCUGACUAAGAAGCACCGGCUAAAUACGUGCCAGCAGCCGCGGUAAUACGUAUGGUGCAAGCGUUAUCCGGAUUUACUGGGUGUAAAGGGAGCGCAGGCGGCGCGUUAAGCCUGGUGUGAAAGUCCGCGGCCCAACCGCGGGACUGCAUUGGGAACUGGCGCGCUGGAGUGCCGGAG
This 305-nucleotide ribosomal RNA is filed under the name uncultured bacterium. RNAcentral describes it as "bacterial SSU rRNA". It matches the Rfam family "Bacterial small subunit ribosomal RNA", at positions 333 to 654 of the family's 1533-position model. The record is from RNAcentral.